Molecule: ribosomal RNA, 439 nt
Filed under: uncultured bacterium
Lineage: Bacteria
Description: partial 16S ribosomal RNA
Rfam family: Bacterial small subunit ribosomal RNA
Source: RNAcentral
CCUACGGGAGGCAGCAGUGGGGAAUAUUGCACAAUGGGCGAAAGCCUGAUGCAGCAACGCCGCGUGAGCGAUGAAGGCUUUCGGGUCGUAAAGCCCUGUUCUUAAGGAAGAUAAUGACGGUAUCUGAGGAGGAAGCCCCGGCUAACUACGUGCCAGCAGCCGCGGUAAUACGUAGGGGGCUAGCGUUACUCGGAAUUACUGGGCGUAAAGGGUGCGUAGGUGGUUUCUUAAGUCAGAGGUGAAAGGCUAUGGCUAAACCGUAGUAAGCCUUUGAAACUGGGGAACUUGAGUGCGGGAGAGGGGAGUGGAAUUCCUGGUGUAGCGGUGAAAUGCGUAGAUAUUAAGAGGAACACCAGUUGCGAAGGCGGCUCUCUAGACUGUAACUGACACUGAGGCACGAAAGCGUGGGGAGCAAACAGGAUUAGAUACCCGAGUAGUC